Molecule: long non-coding RNA, 5046 nt
Filed under: Salmo salar (Atlantic salmon)
Lineage: Eukaryota; Metazoa; Chordata; Actinopteri; Salmoniformes; Salmonidae
Description: lncRNA (ENSSSAG00000110360.1)
Source: RNAcentral
UCCACCUGUCCCCAAUCUGCAAAUAAAAGCACAAACACAGAGAAGGAGGCGGGGAGAGCAAGGGGGGUGUAACAGUGUAGAGAAAAAUACAAACAUCCCAUUGUCGUACAGACCCUUGGUUCACUAGCCAGGUUGAAGAUCUUCAGCAAGCUCAAUGCAAACAUGGGCUUCUGGCAGAUCCCGCUAACCGAGGAGUCAGUUAAGCUAACAACCUUCAUCACACCUUUCGGGCAUUACUACUUCAACCGUCUGACUUUCGGUAUCGCUUCAGGGCCUGAACACUUCCAAAACAGAAUGGUGACAGAGGGUACUGAAGGCCUAAAAGGUGUGGUAUGUCUUAUAGAUCAUGUUUUUGUUUGAUUGUCAAAUACAGGAGGAGCAAGAUGCAAGACUUCAUACCUCAUUGCAGAAGAUGGAAAAAGCCGGCUUAACUCUGAACAUGGACAAAUGUGACCUGUCAAUGCAGGAAGGGAAGUUCCUGUGCCUCAUUAUCUUGGACAAAGGAGUACAGCCUGACCGACAAAGACAGAGGCUGUCAAGGAGAUGGCGGAGCCAUCCAAAGUCGGCGAGCUGCGGAGUUUCCUAGGAAUGGUGAACCAGCUGGGAAAGUUCAUCCCUCAGUUAGCAGAAAAGGACAAACCUCUGAGACCUACUCUCAAAGGAAAAACACUGGUACUAGGGGGGCCGACCAAGUCAGAGCCUUCAAAGAGCUGAAGGAGCUGACAUCCACACCCGUGCUAGCCCUGUAAGUCCCAAACAAAGAGAUCAAGGUGUCAGCCGAUGCAUCUUCCUACGGACUAGGAGUAGUGCUGCUGCAGAAGAAUAGCGAGGAAUAUAGACCCAUUGCCUACACUUUCCGGUCUCUCACACCGACUGAGCAGAGAUAAGCUCAAGUGGAAAAAGAAGCUCUGGGGCUGACAUGGGCAUGUGAAAGACUCAUAGACUUUCUCAUUGAUCAACACUUUGUUGGAAACUGAUCACAAACCUCUCCUGAGUCUUCUGGGGAACUAACCCUACGACAACCUUCCCCCACGUAUCCAACACUUAAGGAUGAGACUUAUGAGGUACUCCUACAGGAUUGCUCAUGUCCCUGGAAAGAGUCUGUGAAACUGCAGACACGCUGUCACAUGGGCCAGUCAAAGCCAAAGCUACUGCUGCGGAAAAGGAGCUCAUGGAGUGCACAAAUAUCUAUGUAGAUGCGAUCAUAAAACAGCUUCCAGUGAGUGUUUCCUACAUGGAUAAUAUGAGAGAACAACUCAAAGCCAACAGUGUGCGCUCAAAAGUCAUGACAAUGUGUCAGGAAGGAUGGUCUGAAUGCAAAGGACCACUGAAACUGUACUGGGCAGAACAUGCUUUUCUCACAGUGCACAAUGGUCUCCUGUUGAAAGGAACAAGAACAUUCCAUCAGCCUUACAAAAUGAUGUCCUCACUAAGCUACACGAGGGUCAUCAAGGUGUGGUCAGGUGCAGAGAAUGUGCUCAACAGGCUGUGUGUUGGCCUGGACUCAGCCAGCAACUGAACUAAUUGUGCAUAACUGCAGGACAUGAAUCAAAGAGCACACAAACCACACAGAACCACUCAUACCAUCACUACUUCCUGUGAGACGCUGGCAAAGAUUGGGAGCGGACUUGUUCACUCUGAAAAGCACCACCUACCUGCUAGUUGUGAGCUACUUCUCAAGGUAUGUGGAAAUCACAAACCUGUCACUAACAAAGUCUCUGGACAUCGUACUCCAUUGGAAGUCCAUCUUCGCCCGCCAUGGGGUACCUGAGGUCCUGGUUACGGACACUGGGCCUCAGUUCUCUGGAAGACCCCUUUCUGACUUUGCUGCAGAGUAUGGAUUUUUCCAUGUCACCAGCAGUCCAAAGUUCCCGCAAAGCAACGGAGAUGCGGAACACACCGUUCAGACUGUGAAGAACCUCCUCAAGAAAGCAGCUGACCCUUAGGCCAGCAAAGCAAGGUAUCUGUCAACUCCACUCCAGAAUGGCUUUAACCCGGCGCAACUAAUGAUGGGAUGACAGCUUCGUACCACAGUGCCAACACUCCCAUCGCUGCUAAACCCAUCACACACAAACACAGCUGCGGUCAGCUCAAAGGAAAAGGAGAGAAGGAGUGCAGAUAAGCAACGCUUCAACAAGCAUCACAGAGUCAGCUACCUGAGCAGUGACUGACUAAAAAGUCACGGGAACAGUGCUGAGGGAACAUGCAGCACCACGAUCCUACAUGGUGGAAGUUCCCCAUGGGUCUGUCCGCAGGAACAGACAUCACCCCAUCUCUAUGGAUGGACCUGAGAACAACAACGCUACGCAGGAGAAGAUUGAAGUGUCUUCACCACUCUAACACACAGAAUUGCCAGAUCCAGAACUGUCCUCAGCUUUUCUCCCCAGAACAAAGAAACAGGGUGCCACUUAUAACCCCCCACCCUAGCCUGGGGUUGACCAAUCAGAUGUCCUUGCAGUACAACUGGGCCAAUGACCAAAUAACAAGUAUCCUGCUCCAGACUCAAUGUACAGAAUAUAGCACAUGUAGCCCUGUGUUCAGGACUGACAUUCCACAGAUUCUAAACAGCUGUUGAACUGAAAACCAACUCCUAUUUACAUUGACAAUUCCCUAUUGACCAUUAAUACUCUAUUUAGUUUUUAGUACUCUCGUCCUCUCAUCCUCUGCAUUGUGUAUUUAUCUUCAAAAUAUUCUUAUACCACCAACACACAAGGUAAUCAUGGAUGUACCUGCUACACUCAGAACAAGUUCUGGGCGAGCAUUAGUUAAACCUCAGACUUGACUUAUAGGUCAGCAAACAAGAACAAAAGACUGAGCUUUAAGUAAAAAUUAAAACAACAGCUGACAAGUUGUUACAGUUCUAACUUACCUGUAGGGUAGAUUUGUGUUAAAAGAAGUGAGAGAUGCAUUUUGGGUUCAAGUUUACAGAAAUUAUUUUAUGUUCAUGACUAUGUAAAAUUUUUCCAGAAUAACUAGUCAGGAAGAGAGACAGAAGGGCAGAAUAAUCCCUUGAGGCAGUCUACCCUUUGUUCUCUGAAAAGGGGAGAUGUGGUGUUAUUUGCUUAUUGCAUCCUGAUUGGCCAUAUGCUAAUGCAGACUUGUGGGAAUUUAGGGGUUCACGAGGAAAGCGUCUCUCUCGCCCAUGUGGCUUGUAAUGUGAAGCAACGUCAAGUUAGCAAUACAUUAGCCUUCAUAAAGAUACACGUGAGGACUUAAAGUGGUCCAGGCACACCGUCGUACAGCGGGUGGUGUGGACAGCCCUGUACAUCACUGGGCCCGAGCUCCCUGACAUCCAGGACCUCUACAUCAGGCGGUGUGAAAGGAAGGUCCGGAAAAUUGUUAGACUCCAGCCACCCAAGCCAUAGACUGUUCUCCCUGUUUCCGCAUGGCGAGCGGUACUGGAGCAUCGAGUCUGAUACCAACAGGCUCCUGAACAGCUUCUAUCCCCAAGCCAUGACUGCUAAAUAGCUAACAAAAUGGCUAUACAGACUGUCUGCAUUGACCCUUUUAUUUUUGCAGACUAUGCACACUCACAGGACUCUACACACUCACUCACACACACAAACUCAUACUGACACUCCAACACACAUACACACACUCACACAAACACACUUGAUUUGGCCACGCACACACAUUCAUGCUGACUCUACACACACUUACACACACUCACUCACAUAAGAUCAUCAUAUAUGCUGUUGCUACUCUGUUUAUCAUACAUCCUGAUGCCUAGGCACCUUAUCCCGAUACAUACCUACCUACCCUUACCACUCCAGUAUCCCUGCACAUUGUAAAUAUAGUAUUGGCACUGACCCUGGAACUGACGCUGUAUAUAGCUUACUUACUUUCUUGUGUUCUUUCUGAUGUGUUUUUGUUCUACUUUAAUUUGUUUUAUAGUACUACUGAUUUUGAGUACUGCAUUGUUGGGAAAGAGCAAGAAAGGCAUUUCACUGUACUUGUGCAUGUGACAAUAAAACAUGAAACUUAUUCGCAAGUAAGUACCUUCUGUGCAUAGGCCGAGUACCUCCAGGGGUCCAUCUAGGCUAGCCCAGGUUGAGAACCACUGGUGUAUAAUGCAUUUUUUAAAAUCAGGCUUGGGAAGUGGACUCAAAAGGUCAUUAAAGCACAUCUCCUUGUCUGUACACACCUGCACUAUCUCUCCCUGCUGUCAGUCCCUACAGAAGGGAGUGUGUUUUGGUGUGGUGUAGCCUCAGGCAGGGUGUGGGAAAGCCUGUUUGAAUCCAGCAGAUUACUGGAUUCUCUUUAGCCUGUCCACCACACCCAUCCUGACAGACACACACACACACGCGCAUUUAAGACUUCUUACUUAAUCUAAAAAACAUGAACAUACACACACACACACACAAACACAGCGAAUGACUUACUCACACUCAAACAAAAAGACAGACAAGAACACAGACAUGCACACACACACACCUACCUGAAACAGUCAUCCGGACUCGAUAAACCAACCAACCAACAUACCCAGAUGACAUAUUGUCCUCAUUGUCUUACAGGAAUUAUUGCACAAUUACAGUGAUAAUUAAAUAUGUUCUACACUCUUGUGGCUUUGAGUCAAUGACUCUUAUCAUGGAGUGAAAUUCAGAUAAUCUCAUAUGACUACAUUGAUUACAGUCACGUCAUCUCAAAUGAUUACAUUUCCUGUGUAGCGUGCCCGUUCUUUGAUGACACAAGUGCUCAUUGUCCCAGGUUGUCAGUACUCUGUGGGGACAGAAGAAGUCCUGAAGACUGCUCCUAUCCCAGCCAGGCACCCAUGCCUGGCACAUAAUGUGCAAUGGAUGGGAUUGGACUAAUUCACUUAACAGCCAUUGUUUUUACAACAGCCUAACCCAUUCUAUAGCAUCUACUGUACACUGUGUGUCACUGAAGAAAGCAACAAGGCUUUGGGCCUAAUUCAUUACAUUUGCAUAAUGUUAGACAAAGAAAGACAUCCGUUUGAGUACUGAGUACUCCUCUCUUUGUUUAGGUUGAUUUUAAAGUGAAAGUGAUCAUGACAUUGACCUAAAUAUGCCGAACUAAUAAUAAAAC